Molecule: unclassified non-coding RNA, 376 nt
Filed under: soil metagenome
Description: partial contains 5.8S ribosomal RNA, internal transcribed spacer 2, and large subunit ribosomal RNA
Rfam family: 5.8S ribosomal RNA (bases 1-119)
Source: RNAcentral
GAUGAAGAACGUAGCGAAAUGCGAUAAGUAAUGUGAAUUGCAGAAUUCAGUGAAUCAUCGAAUCUUUGAACGCACCUUCGCUCCUUGGUAUUCCGAGGAGCAUGCCUGUUUGAGUCUCAUGGAAUUCUCAAGCUUACAGUUUUGUUACUGCAAGGCUUGGACUUGGAGGUCGUGUCGGCUCUCGCGAGUCGACUCCUCUGAAAUGCAUUAGUGCGGACGUUACCGGUCGCUUCAGCGUGAUAAUUAUCUGCGCUGCCGUCGACUGGUAUGUGAAGUACGCGCUUCUAACCGUCCUUCACGGGACAAUACAUUGAAACUCUGAGCUCAAAUCAGGUAGGACUACCCGCUGAACUUAAGCAUAUCAAUAAGCGGAGGA